RNAcentral lists this ribosomal RNA (796 nucleotides) under uncultured bacterium. Its description in RNAcentral is "bacterial SSU rRNA". It matches the Rfam family "Bacterial small subunit ribosomal RNA", at positions 51 to 840 of the family's 1533-position model. The record is from RNAcentral.
ACACAUGCAAGUCGAGGGGCAGCGCGGGAUAGCAAUAUCCUGGCGGCGACCGGCGGAAGGGUGCGUAACGCGUGAGCGACAUGCCCGUUGCCCGGGGACAACCGGUGGAAACGCCGACUAAUCCCCGAUGGGAUAUUGUGCCGCAUGGCACGAUAUUGAAAGUUACGGCGGCGACGGAUUGGCUCGCGUCCGAUUAGCUUGUUGGCGGGGUAACGGCCCACCAAGGCUACGAUCGGUAGGGGUUCUGAGAGGAAGGCCCCCCACAAUGGGACUGAGACACGGCUCAUACUCCUACGGGAGGCAGCAGUGAGGAAUAUUGGUCAAUGGGCGGAAGCCUGAACCAGCCAUGCCGCGUGCGGGAAGGAGGCCCUAUGGGCUGUGAACCGCUUUUGCCUGGGGGCAAUAAGGACGUCGCGCACGCCCGAUGAGAGUACCAGGCGAAUAAGCAUCGGCUAACUCCGUGCCAGCAGCCGCGGUAAUACGGGGGAUGCGAGCGUUAUCCGGAUUCAUUGGGUUUAAAGGGUGCGUAGGCUGUGCGUCAAGUCGGGGGUGAAAUUCCGGUGCUCAACACCGGGGCUGCCCUUGAUACUGUCGCGCUGGAGUGCGGAUGCCGCCGGAGGAAUGAGUGGUGUAGCGGUGAAAUGCUUAGAUAUCACUCAGAACACCGAUUGCGAAGGCAUCUGGCGAAUCCGUAACUGACGCUGAGGCACGAAAGCGUGGGGAUAGAACAGGAUUAGAUACCCUGGUAUUCCACGCCGUAAACGAUGAUGGCUAACCGCCGGCGACACACUGUCGG